GAACAGAGCAUCAGUGAGUUGUGGGACAUCUUUAAGUAGUUUCCUACAUGUGUAAUUAGUCUAUAAAGGAUCAAAAAGGACAGAAAAUAUAUUUGAAAAAUUAAUGGCCACAAAUUUUCAAACUUGAUGAAAACUGUGAAACUACAGAUCCAAGAAGCUCAGUAAACCCCAAGCACAAGAAAUGUGAAGAAAACUACAAGUCACAUCAUAUUCAAAAUUGUUAAAAGCAAUGAUGAACAGGA
Molecule: long non-coding RNA, 242 nt
Filed under: Homo sapiens (human)
Lineage: Eukaryota; Metazoa; Chordata; Mammalia; Primates; Hominidae
Description: non-protein coding lnc-STOX2-9:1
Source: RNAcentral